UACGAAGGGGGCUAGCGUUGCUCGGAAUCACUGGGCGUAAAGGGUGCGUAGGUGGAUUUUUAAGUCAGGGGUGAAAUCCUGGAGCUCAACUCCAGAACUGCCUUUGAUACUGGGAAUCUUGAGUUCGGGAGAGGUGAGUGGAACUGCGAGUGUAGAGGUGAAAUUCGUAGAUAUUCGCAAGAACACCAGUGGCGAAGGCGGCCUGCUGGGCAGUGGCUGACACUGAGGCGCGACAGCGUGGGGAGCAAACAGG
RNAcentral lists this ribosomal RNA (253 nucleotides) under uncultured bacterium. Its description in RNAcentral is "partial 16S ribosomal RNA". It matches the Rfam family "Bacterial small subunit ribosomal RNA", at positions 524 to 776 of the family's 1533-position model. The record is from RNAcentral.